AACGCACGAGACCUGCGGACCUGCGGAGGGAUCAUUACCGAGUGUUUCUACUCUAAACCCACUGUGAACCUUACCACUGUCGUUGCUUCGGCGGGCGUCCGCGCCCGCCGGCAGCACCCAAACUCUUGAUUUUUAGCAUGCCUCUCUGAGUACUAAAGACAAAACAAUCAAAACUUUUAGCAAUGGAUCUCU
Molecule: unclassified non-coding RNA, 192 nt
Filed under: soil metagenome
Description: partial contains 5.8S ribosomal RNA, internal transcribed spacer 2, and large subunit ribosomal RNA
Source: RNAcentral